Molecule: ribosomal RNA, 472 nt
Filed under: uncultured organism
Description: partial 16S ribosomal RNA
Rfam family: Bacterial small subunit ribosomal RNA
Source: RNAcentral
CACUCCUGCGGGAGGCAGCAGUGGGGAAUAUUGCACAAUGGGCGCAAGCCUGAUGCAGCCAUGCCGCGUGUAUGAAGAAGGCCUUCGGGUUGUAAAGUACUUUCAGCGGGGAGGAAGGCAAUACGGUUAAUAACCGUGUUGAUUGACGUUACCCGCAGAAGAAGCACCGGCUAACUCCGUGCCAGCAGCCGCGGUAAUACGGAGGGUGCAAGCGUUAAUCGGAAUUACUGGGCGUAAAGCGCACGCAGGCGGUCUGUCAAGUCGGAUGUGAAAUCCCCGGGCUCAACCUGGGAACUGCAUUCGAAACUGGCAGGCUUGAGUCUUGUAGAGUGGGGUAGAAUUCCAGGUGUAGCGGUGUAAUGCGUAGAGAUCUGGAGGAAUACCGGUGGCGAAGGCGGCCCCCUGGACAAAGACUGACGCUCAGGUGCGAAAGCGUGGGGAGCAAACAGGAUUAGAUACCCUAGUAGUCCCA